RNAcentral lists this transfer RNA (72 nucleotides) under Loxodonta africana (African savanna elephant). It matches the Rfam family "tRNA". From Rfam's summary of the family: Transfer RNA (tRNA) molecules are approximately 80 nucleotides in length. Their secondary structure includes four short double-helical elements and three loops (D, anti-codon, and T loops). Further hydrogen bonds mediate the characteristic L-shaped molecular structure. tRNAs have two regions of fundamental functional importance: the anti-codon, which is responsible for specific mRNA codon recognition, and the 3' end, to which the tRNAs corresponding amino acid is attached (by aminoacyl-tRNA synthetases). tRNAs cope with the degeneracy of the genetic code in two manners: having more than one tRNA (with a specific anti-codon) for a particular amino acid; and 'wobble' base-pairing, i.e. permitting non-standard base-pairing at the 3rd anti-codon position. The record is from Rfam by way of RNAcentral. Lineage: Eukaryota; Metazoa; Chordata; Mammalia; Proboscidea; Elephantidae.
GCCCUGGUGGCACAACGGUUAAGUGCUUAGCUGCUAACUGAAAGGCUGGUGGUUCACACCCACCCAGGGGCU